Molecule: ribosomal RNA, 329 nt
Filed under: uncultured eukaryote
Lineage: Eukaryota
Description: partial 18S ribosomal RNA
Rfam family: Eukaryotic small subunit ribosomal RNA
Source: RNAcentral
CCCUUAGAUGUUCUGGGCCGCACGCGCGCUACACUGAUGCAUUCAACGAGUCUAAAACCUGCUCUGAUAGGGAUGGGUAAUCUUUUGAAUGUGCAUCGUGAUUGGGAUAGAUGAUUGCAAUUUUUCAUCUUCAACGAGGAAUGCCUAGUAAACGCAAGUCAUCAGCUUGCAUUGAUUACGUCCCUGCCCUUUGUACACACCGCCCGUCGCUCCUACCGAUUGAAUGAUCCGAUGAAUAUCAUGGAUUGAGGAUUAUAGCAGGUUCGCCUGUCUUGAUCUUCGAGAAGUGAAGUAAAUCUUAUCAUUUAGAGGAAGGAGAAGUCGUAACA